CAAGGGGAGUGGCAGACGGGUGAGUAACGCGUGGGAACAUACCCUUUCCUGCGGAAUAGCUCUGGGAAACUGGAAUUAAUACCGCAUACGCCCUACGGGGGAAAGAUUUAUCGGGGAAGGAUUGGCCCGCGUUGGAUUAGCUAGUUGGUGGGGUAAAGGCCUACCAAGGCGACGAUCCAUAGCUGGUCUGAGAGGAUGAUCAGCCACAUUGGGACUGAGACACGGCCCAAACUCCUACGGGAGGCAGCAGUGGGGAAUAUUGGACAAUGGGCGCAAGCCUGAUCCAGCCAUGCCGCGUGAGUGAUGAAGGCCUUAGGGUUGUAAAGCUCUUUCACCGAUGAAGAUAAUGACGGUAGUCGGAGAAGAAGCCCCGGCUAACUUCGUGCCAGCAGCCGCGGUAAUACGAAGGGGGCUAGCGUUGUUCGGAAUUACUGGGCGUAAAGCGCACGUAGGCGGAUAUUUAAGUCAGGGGUGAAAUCCCGCAGCUCAACUGCGGAACUGCCUUUGAUACUGGGUAUCUUGAGUAUGGAAGAGGUAAGUGGAAUUCCGAGUGUAGAGGUGAAAUUCGUAGAUAUUCGGAGGAACACCAGUGGCGAA
RNAcentral lists this ribosomal RNA (597 nucleotides) under Agrobacterium sp. Its description in RNAcentral is "bacterial SSU rRNA". It matches the Rfam family "Bacterial small subunit ribosomal RNA", at positions 87 to 719 of the family's 1533-position model. The record is from RNAcentral. Lineage: Bacteria; Pseudomonadati; Pseudomonadota; Alphaproteobacteria; Hyphomicrobiales; Rhizobiaceae.